CGCCUCCUCCUACUGCUGCUACUGCUGGCGAGGGGCGGGCAGCGUUGUGCGCAAGCGCAGCAACCCCCCCCUCCGGGGCACAGGGGUACGAAGGCCACACUGCGCAUGCGUAGCAAUCCCCCUCUCCCGGCCACUGGGGAGGGGAGGCGCACACCGCAGGCGCAGAAAACACCGCUCUUGGGCAUGUGAGACCAGCGCUGUUAUGCGCAGGCGUAGACACCCCCUCCCGUCCUGAACAUCCAGGGGCGGGCAGCUUUGUGCGCAGCCGCACCAGACUCCAUGUGGGCCCCGCCUCCGCCGCCUGCCCCACGCUGUGCCCCCAUUGGCCGCGCCUCGCGCACAGGGAGAGGGCGGACGGAGCUCAGUGCUAAGGCACCGAGGACGGCGCGAGAAGCGGGCGCGGGAGAGGGAAAGUAGGACAGCGGCGCGCGCUGUCCCGCUCCAUCACACACGUGGCUGGUUCCGCCCGGCCUUCGACAGCUGUGCCCAGGGAUGGGCUGCCGCGCCCCCAGGCGAUGACCUUGCAGCUCUCUUGCCCCAAAACACGCUCCAGCCACUGGCCUUGCAGCUCCAUAAGUGCCCGAGGGUUGGCCCCGCAGGUUUCCUGCCCAGGGUGUCUCUCCAGGGCACUGUUGAAGCAUAUCACUGAGGAGAAACUGCCUCAUUCCCUGUGUGAAUCUCCUAAGAUCCAUUAUUGUUGCUGUCUUCAUCUUCAGAGAGGUUCUUCAGAUUUUCAUAUGAAGGGCUCCAAGUACCUAAAAACGUGGACAUCUGUAGGAAAGCUACUUCCAAAUGGGAACAUCACAGUGGGAGAAGCCUCUGUCUACUCCUCACCCUGCAUUUGAGUCUAUGAAUUAUUUAGAGGCUUGGAAGGAUUAGAUUUUUGAUAGAUAUCAGUAAACAUCUAUUUCACCGUACACACACAAACUGACAAAAAGUAUUUCCAUCCAUAAUAACUGAAAUAUACAGGCAGGCAAAGUUAGAAAAAUGCUACUUGAGAACGUAUUAGAGUUUGAUUUAACAAUACGUACUUGGUAUAUUUUGACAUGUGACGUUGAUAAUUUGUAUUUUAAUGGUUAUAAAGUUUUAACUUUCUGAAUUUCAGUGUCUUCUGUCACUAAAUAAUUUUUGUCUGACCACCCCGUUGCCUGAACCUCCCAUACUUUCCCACAAGUGUGAACAUUUAAAUGGUUAAAAAUAAAAAAAGCUUUAAAAUAAACAUCAGUAUCCAUUGAAAUGAUAUUAAAAAAAUUGAUUCUGUCAAGCCUGAUCAUUCGGUAUCCCUGAGGCACAUGAUUAGUAUGGCCCAUUGAUGCAUCUAAGGUCUAGUAAGCUGGGAUGCGCCGUCUUGAAUGCCAACAACACAUUGUAGUUCCUGGGUACUGAUAAGAACAUCCUAUGAAACUGUUUACCUUUUACCAGAACUAGGUAAUUAGCCUAUGGGACCACAAUAUAUUCAUUAGAGAGAGAGAGAGAAAUACUUGAAAUGUUUGUAUUUUUUUCCCCAA
This is a non-coding RNA of Caretta caretta (loggerhead turtle), 1508 nucleotides long. Lineage: Eukaryota; Metazoa; Chordata; Testudines; Cheloniidae. The record is from RefSeq and is a predicted model, not a curated record.